Molecule: ribosomal RNA, 543 nt
Filed under: Haaniella macroptera
Lineage: Eukaryota; Metazoa; Arthropoda; Insecta; Phasmatodea; Heteropterygidae
Description: partial large subunit ribosomal RNA
Source: RNAcentral
CUUUGAAGAGAGAGUUCAAGAGUACGUGAAACCGUUCAGGGGUAAACGGGGAGAAAUCCUGAAUUCGAAAGGGGAUUGGAUUCAAGGCUGUCCGGAUCGCGCAGGCCGCUCCUCGCCAGAUGGUGCCGGUCGCCCACUGCGAUUAAUUUCGUUUGUGGUGUCGUUCCCGGCGAUCACUCGGCGGGGUUGCGUGAUGCUCUGGCGACGGAGGUGUGCACUUCCCCCCUAGUAGAAACGUCGCGACCCGUUGGGUGCCGGUCUAAGGCCUGGGAAGGCAGACCGUGCGUUCCGUGGGGGAUCCCACGGGCGCGCGGACUCUCGGUGACCCGGCCGGCUGCCCGACGGUAUGACCAGAGGAGUCGAUCCGCUGAAUGGGAAACACUGUGGUUGUGUAGCGUCCGGCCCGGUGCCGAUGCGUGUGGGGAUUGAGGUGCAAACCGGGGGAGCCCGUGCUGUGCACGGCCCCGGCCCCACUGCGUCGUCGGAUUUUCCGGUGUCCUCGGACUGGAUCAGCACUCCCGUCUGCGACGCCCACCUUCGGAU